RNAcentral lists this transfer RNA (79 nucleotides) under Blastocatellia bacterium. RNAcentral's name for it is "tRNA-Met". The stretch from base 6 to 66 matches the Rfam family "tRNA", at positions 8 to 63 of the family's 71-position model. From Rfam's summary of the family: Transfer RNA (tRNA) molecules are approximately 80 nucleotides in length. Their secondary structure includes four short double-helical elements and three loops (D, anti-codon, and T loops). Further hydrogen bonds mediate the characteristic L-shaped molecular structure. tRNAs have two regions of fundamental functional importance: the anti-codon, which is responsible for specific mRNA codon recognition, and the 3' end, to which the tRNAs corresponding amino acid is attached (by aminoacyl-tRNA synthetases). tRNAs cope with the degeneracy of the genetic code in two manners: having more than one tRNA (with a specific anti-codon) for a particular amino acid; and 'wobble' base-pairing, i.e. permitting non-standard base-pairing at the 3rd anti-codon position. The record is from RNAcentral. Lineage: Bacteria; Pseudomonadati; Acidobacteriota; Blastocatellia.
GANNCUAGCUCAUGCUUGGUUAGAGCAGCAGACUCAUAAUCUGUUGGCUGUAGGUUCGAAUCCUACCGAGGGCAUGCCA